RNAcentral lists this ribosomal RNA (635 nucleotides) under Pseudomonas sp. RNAcentral's name for it is "bacterial SSU rRNA". It matches the Rfam family "Bacterial small subunit ribosomal RNA", at positions 100 to 731 of the family's 1533-position model. The record is from RNAcentral. Lineage: Bacteria; Pseudomonadati; Pseudomonadota; Gammaproteobacteria; Pseudomonadales; Pseudomonadaceae.
GGACGGGUGAGUAAUGCCUAGGAAUCUGCCUGGUAGUGGGGGACAACGUUUCGAAAGGAACGCUAAUACCGCAUACGUCCUACGGGAGAAAGCAGGGGACCUUCGGGCCUUGCGCUAUCAGAUGAGCCUAGGUCGGAUUAGCUAGUUGGUGGGGUAAUGGCUCACCAAGGCGACGAUCCGUAACUGGUCUGAGAGGAUGAUCAGUCACACUGGAACUGAGACACGGUCCAGACUCCUACGGGAGGCAGCAGUGGGGAAUAUUGGACAAUGGGCGAAAGCCUGAUCCAGCCAUGCCGCGUGUGUGAAGAAGGUCUUCGGAUUGUAAAGCACUUUAAGUUGGGAGGAAGGGCAGUAAGCUAAUACCUUGCUGUUUUGACGUUACCGACAGAAUAAGCACCGGCUAACUCUGUGCCAGCAGCCGCGGUAAUACAGAGGGUGCAAGCGUUAAUCGGAAUUACUGGGCGUAAAGCGCGCGUAGGUGGUUUGUUAAGUUGGAUGUGAAAGCCCCGGGCUCAACCUGGGAACUGCAUCCAAAACUGGCAAGCUAGAGUACGGUAGAGGGUGGUGGAAUUUCCUGUGUAGCGGUGAAAUGCGUAGAUAUAGGAAGGAACACCAGUGGCGAAGGCGACCACCUG